Long non-coding RNA from Amblyraja radiata (thorny skate), 137 nucleotides. RefSeq lists it as uncharacterized. The transcript has 3 exons. Lineage: Eukaryota; Metazoa; Chordata; Chondrichthyes; Rajiformes; Rajidae. The record is from RefSeq and is a predicted model, not a curated record.
CUAUGUUUCUAUGUGACAGACUGACUUUCCCUCACAUUGGGAAACUUUGAUUCUGCUGUGUGGGGAUGUUUUUAUGUUGAAUUCUAUCGUGUUGUGUUCUUUAUUUUUAUUGUAUGGCUGUAUGGUUAUCUCAUUUC